ACUCUUUUAUUAUAAAUAUUAUAUUUGAUUUCCAAUCAAAAGAUCUUAAAAAAGAAAGAGUA
RNAcentral lists this transfer RNA (62 nucleotides) under unidentified. RNAcentral's name for it is "Iphicrates gressitti tRNA-Gly". The record is from RNAcentral.